This is a long non-coding RNA of Myotis davidii, 2155 nucleotides long. RefSeq lists it as uncharacterized. NCBI's taxonomy places the organism in Eukaryota, Metazoa, Chordata, Mammalia, Chiroptera, Vespertilionidae. The transcript has 2 exons. The record is from RefSeq and is a predicted model, not a curated record.
UGAGGGGCAGGAAGAGUGUACCACGAUGGGGCAAGCAAGCCCUGCCCUGAGUCUUCAGUGCAGAGCGAGAAGUUAGGUGGCAGAAGUGAGGCUGGAGAGGGGAAUAGACUCAAAGGGCUUUGUGAGCCAGGUCGAGGGUGUUGGAAUUUUCCGUAACGGAGAGCCCGUAGUGGUGGGUUUAUGUCUUAGAAAUCACUCUGACUGCACUAUGGAGAAUGAAUGGAAGAGGGGCAAGACCAGGGGCAGGAAGCCUGUGAGGGGGGCAGUUUUAGUGUCUACAUGAGAGGCCAGCGUGUCCUGGAUCUGAGUGGUGUCAAUGACGAGAAAGAGAAGUGGGUAGAAUUUAGUAAUAUUUAGGGCAUUUAAUUGAGAGGAUUCCGGUGGCUGAAAUGAGGGGACAGAAGAAAAAGUCAAGGAUGAGGCUCAGUUGUGUUGCUUGGAUAACUGGGUAGUUGGUAACCCCCAGAGCCCUGGAGGAGAAAAAGAUUCUGAGAUGUUGAGUGAUUUGGAACAUGCUGUUCAAAAGGAGUGUCAGUCCAUCAGCACUUGGAGAUAUGGGGGUCUGGAGGGGAGGAGAGUGCCAUGUCAAUCACUGGCCUCAGCUUAGAGAUGGCAGGCAGGGGGCUGGAGAAGGUGGUUCAGGGAGUGUGUUUCAGGAGCAAGGAGAAAACUGCCUAGAAUGGAAUUCGGUGGAGUGAUGUUUGUAUAAUGAUGCUGGAGGAGGAGGAGGUGGAGGAGGUUUUUAGGAGACUCAGAGGAAAUAACCAGAAACGUAGGUGUUAGCUAUAGCAAUUCAUCUGCUUAUUCAGCUGCUGUAAGUCAGCAUUUAUUGAGGUUCCAUAUGUCCUGGGUGCAUUCAGAGACAAGUGAGACUUAACUGUUGACAUCAAACUUAAACCAUGGCCAUCACCCCAGUACGGUCUUCUGAAACAAGAGGCCCCUUUCUUGUAGGCCGCUGACCGUCUUAUUUUCUUACUGAUAGAUUGUUCUUCCUUAGCACGUUUACAGGCCCUGGAGUGCCUCCCACGGUCACCCUCCUGUAUUAACCAGGCCCCAAAGACCCAGGUCUAGCAGUCAAGCCUUCUGUCCAUGGUGGGUGUAUGGCCUGAACCGGAUACUUCAAGGCUGUCAGGGGGCAGACGGCAUAAGGAAGGAAAGGAGGGAACAUGUCAUAUGCUGAGGGUUCAGCAAAUUGUACCCACACACCAGGCAUAGAAACACAAGAAAAUCACCCCCGCUCCGUGGGUGAGACUAAGCAGCAGUCCUCUUCCCAUCUGCUUUGCCUUCACAAACAUGCCUUUUCUUCUUCUUCUUUUUGGUUCUCUGCAGCUUUGAAUACAUGAGGAAGAAGAGUGGGAGACAGGAGGAAAGCUCCCUCCUACCUUCUCUUCCCUACCUUCCCUGCACACCCUUCUCCCAGCCUGAAUCCACAGCCAUGACUCGUCACUCGCCUGCUGUUAAUAUAUCCCCAGCACUCUGUGCUUCUUCCUACCUGGCAGCAACCAACCCUGGACAACCUGACUCCCUGACUUCUCUGCACCUGCACACAGGCUGGCAGGAGCUGCCAGAGGCCUUGGCCCAGCAGCUGAGCUGGAACUACAGAGCAGUUCUCAACCUCGGCCGGGCUCUCAUUUCCCGCUGGAGGAGAAAUCCUAGUCAUCUCUCUCCCUGCUCAUAGAAGAGGAGUGUUUCAGACGUUCUCCACAGGCCUCAAACAAAUGCAAGUCACUCCCACGUGAAAAAUGAAAACAACCCUGGCAGUUACCCAAAUGGCCAUCAGUUGAUAACGGGAUGCUCUACAACGAAAAGAAUAAGCUACAUGCAACAAUAUGGAUGAAUCUUACAGGCAUGAUGUGAUGCCGAGUGAAAGAAGCAAGACCACAAGAGAGGAUAUAGGUAUGAUUCCUCUGAUGCAAAGUUCAGAAAUGGGCCAAACUCAUCUAUGGUUAUAGAAAUCAGAAUGGUAGUUACCCUUGAGGGCUUCCAGGGAGGUGCUGAUGUUCAAUUUCCCAAUCGGGGUUCUAUUUCCUAAUCCUAUGUAGUUGUGUUCCCUUGUGAAAAUGUAUCGAGCUGGACCACUGAAUGUGCCCGUUCGGUAUGUAUAUUAUAUUUCAAAUCAAGCUGACUUUAAAUAAAUAACUACACAAAGAAAUGA